UACGGAGGGUGCAAGCGUUAUCCGGAUUUACUGGGUUUAAAGGGUGCGUAGGUGGGUCUGUAAGUCAGUGGUGAAAUCUCCGGGCUUAACUCGGAAACUGCCAUUGAUACUAUCUGUCUUGAAUACCGUGGAGGUCAGCGGAAUAUGUCAUGUAGCGGUGAAAUGCUUAGAUAUGGCAUAGAACACCAAUUGCGAAGGCAGCUGGCUACACGAAUAUUGACACUGAUGCACGAAAGCGUGGGGAUCAAACAGG
This 253-nucleotide ribosomal RNA is filed under the name uncultured bacterium. RNAcentral's name for it is "partial 16S ribosomal RNA". It matches the Rfam family "Bacterial small subunit ribosomal RNA", at positions 524 to 776 of the family's 1533-position model. The record is from RNAcentral.